This 468-nucleotide ribosomal RNA is filed under the name uncultured bacterium. RNAcentral's name for it is "partial 16S ribosomal RNA". It matches the Rfam family "Bacterial small subunit ribosomal RNA", at positions 28 to 507 of the family's 1533-position model. The record is from RNAcentral.
GACGAACGCUGGCGGCGUGCUUAACACAUGCAAGUCGAACGGAAAGGCCCUGCUUUUGUGGGGUGCUCGAGUGGCGAACGGGUGAGUAACACGUGAGUAACCUGCCCUUGACUUUGGGAUAACUUCAGGAAACUGGGGCUAAUACCGGAUAGGAGCUCCUGCUGCAUGGUGGGGGUUGGAAAGUUUCGGCGGUUGGGGAUGGACUCGCGGCUUAUCAGCUUGUUGGUGGGGUAGUGGCUUACCAAGGCUUUGACGGGUAGUCGGCCUGAGAGGGUGACCGGCCACAUUGGGACUGAGAUACAGCCCAGACUCCUACGGGAGGCAGCAGUGGGGAAUAUUGCACAAUGGGCGGAAGCCUGAUGCAGCAACGCCGCGUGCGGGAUGACGGCCUUCGGGUUGUAAACCGCUUUCGCCUGUGACGAAGCGUGAGUGACGGUAAUGGGUAAAGAAGCACCGGCUAACUACGUG